GACGAACGCUGGCGGCGUGCUUAACACAUGCAAGUCGAACGAUGAAGCCGGAGCUUGCUCUGGUGAAUUAGUGGCGAACGGGUGAGUAACACGUGAGUAACCUGCCCUUGACUCUGGGAUAACUGCGGGAAACUGUAGCUAAUACCGGAUACGACCCUCGGAGGCAUCUCCUGGGGGUGGAAAGAAUUUCGGUCAAGGAUGGACUCGCGGCCUAUCAGCUAGUUGGUGAGGUAAAGGCUCACCAAGGCGACGACGGGUAGCCGGCCUGAGAGGGUGACCGGCCCAACUGGGAUUGGGACACGGCCCAGACUCCUACGGGAGGCAGCAGUGGGGAAUAUUGCACAAUGGGCGCAAGCCUGAUGCAGCAACGCCGCGUGAGGGAUGACGGCCUUCGGGUUGUAAACCUCUUUUAGCAGGGAAGAAGCGAAAGUGACGGUACCUGCAGAAAAAGCACCGGCUAACUACGUGCCAGCCGCCGCCGUAA
Molecule: ribosomal RNA, 484 nt
Filed under: uncultured bacterium
Lineage: Bacteria
Description: partial 16S ribosomal RNA
Rfam family: Bacterial small subunit ribosomal RNA
Source: RNAcentral